GCCGCGGUAAUUCCAGCUCCAAUAGCGUAUAUUAACGUUGUUGCAGUUAAAAAGCUCGUAGUUGAAGUGUGGGUGGUGCUGUCUGAAUGACUUCGGUUAGUCAGAUGAUCACUACCCCCUUCCAGUAUCCAGUAGUGGGUAUUCACUUACUUACUAUUGUGUGUUGGUCCUUUACUGUGAGAAAAUUAGAGUGUUCAAAGCAGGCGUUUGCUUGAAUAGAUUAGCAUGGAAUAAUAAUUGAAGGCUUUCGUGUUCGAUUUGAUUGGUUUGUUCAUGGAAGCAAGGUUAAAAGGAACAGUUGGGGGUAUUCAUAUUCACUAGUUAGAGGUGAAAUUCUCGGAUUUAUGGAAGAUGAACAAGUGCGAAAGCAUUUACCAAGGAUGUUUUCAUUAAUCAAGAACGAAGG
This 406-nucleotide ribosomal RNA is filed under the name Blastocystis sp. RNAcentral describes it as "SSU rRNA". It matches the Rfam family "Eukaryotic small subunit ribosomal RNA", at positions 573 to 989 of the family's 1831-position model. Lineage: Eukaryota; Bigyra; Opalinata; Blastocystidae. The record is from RNAcentral.